GGGACGGGCUGAAGGGGUAUGUAUCUACCUUUAACCCCCACCCCCGUCCCCCCCACCUCCCCUAAGAAGUCAAGUGGUGGAUUAAUCGGGGGCGUUCAUUUGGAGUGAUGCCAAUUGAGAGAGCAUGGGAGAGAAGAGGCGGACACAAAGAGGAGAGAGAGAUAGAGAGAAAGAGAGAGAGAGAGAGAGAGAGAGAGAGAGAGAGAGAGAGAGAGAGAGAGAGAGAGAGAGAGAGAGAGAGAGAGAAAAUGCUAACUCAAGGAUUUCAAAAGCAGGUAGAAAUUAGAGAAAUGCUACGCACAGCAGCAGUUAUCUCUACUGCACACACCAACUCUAAGACUGCAUCCUUACACAGGACCAGAGGCCUCUCAGUCUCUGUCACUGUACCAAGUUCUCUCUCUCUCGCUCUACCUAUCUCUCUCUCUCUCUCUUUCUUUCUCUCCCUCUCUAUCACGGUCUCUCUCCGUCUCCCUCUCUGUCCCUCUCUCUCACCUGGUGCACUCACUCCGUGGGAAAGAAUUUUCUCUCUCUCUCCCUCUCGCAAUCACUAUCUCUCUCUCUUGCUCUUCCUCUGCCUCACCCGGUGCGCUCGCUCACUGGCAGGGAAUUCUCUCUCUCUCUCUCUCUCUCUCUCUCUCUCUCUCUCUCUCUCUCUCUCUCUCUCUCUCUCUCUCUCUCUCUCUCUCUCUCUCUCUCUCUCUCUCUCGCCGUCUCUCACACACACUCUCUGGCUUACUCGCUCUCUCGUUCACGCUCUCUUCCUCCCUUUGUGUGUCUCUGUGGUGCGCUCUCGUUCUCUCAGUGUUCAUCUUGCUCCUAUCCUGAUAACAAUCAUUCAAAGUCAGGCGGUGGGACAGGACGGACAGCGCAGCCCCGCACUCCUCUUGGCAGCCUGCCGGUGCACUUCCCGGCCGUGAGCGGGUCCUACAUGGACUCCCCGUACAACGGCAACGCGUCGCUGCAGACGUCCACCUCCAACCUGAACGCUGUGCCAGGGUCCCGGCCCCCCGAGGCGGAGGACGACGGCAAGGUGUCCAGCGACACCAUCUGGCUGUGGGUCGCCGUGCUCGCCACCAUCGGCAACAUCGUGGUGGUGGCGGUGGUGUGCGCCUGUGCCUUCUAGAGAUGACGCACGGUGGGGGGGGGGGGGGGGGGGGCUGAGAGACAGAGCCUACGGUGGUGGAUGGAGGAGGAGGAGAUGGUCCCCAUAAAACAAAGUGUCUCCAGCUUUUGGAUCAUUCAUCAUUUGGAUGGAGAAAAAAAAGAGCCGGUGUUAUUCUAAGCCUGUUCACCGUGUUAUCUUUGGUCAAGAAUGAAAACAUGGACGUACGAUGUAAAUACCGAAGUUAAAUAAAACAAUGUAUGGAGUUAUGAGGUGUUUGUGCAGGCGCCCGUGUGUGUCACGUGGCAAGCAUAUAGCGACAGAUUUGUAUGAUGCGGCGCAUGGCCUGCUUUGAAAACCACACAAAACCGUUUAUCCAAACCUUUACACCUGAUGUCAGACAAAUUGCGUAAUGAACCGAGCAUGCUGCACAACAUUCAAAUUAUUGUACACUAAAGGAGAAAAACAACAUUCAGAAUCAUCAAAUGACCAGAUGAGGUGACCAUACAUUUGGAAUCACUUCCUAACCAAAUGAUUAUGGCCACUUCAUCUCCUCAUUCUCAGCCUUUUUAUGCUGCACUGAUUUUGGGAAAGCUAGCAUUUUAACAUUAUUUUGUUUGUUUUUUCUUUUAAAUAAAAAAUGACUGAACGAUGAGUUUGUCACCACACAUCUCAUCACUUGAGUCACCGUUCUUCCCAAAUGGGACAAUUUCUAUUUCGAGGAAGAUUAAUGAAGUGCAUUAUAAAUACGGAAACCUCUCAUGGUCCGCCAGACAGAAAGGCUUGCCAUGGACUGCAGCAGGACUCAUCUUCUUAGGGCCUAAUGUGGCCGGACUGGCCUAGACUCCCUCUAAUAAGUAGCACUCCCAGCAGGGCAAAGACUCAAUCAUACCACUUUGGGUGAUGAAUAAGAGGAAGACAUAUACAGGAGUUGCCAUCCCAUCAACCUCAAAGUUGCCAGUGGUCAGUUUGGUUACGCAAUGCCAGCCUGUCUGGCUUACAUAAAACCUAUUCAGCCCUGGGUGAACAACGCCAUGAUCAACCGAGGUCAGUGUUAAGGAUUACGGACAAGAUCCUCUGGUGAGGUCAGCUAAGCAAGAGGAGUGUCUUCAUCUGAGUAUCUGGGACUGUUGUUGCAGUGUGUGGGUGUGGGUGAUCCCUGUCCAAUUCAAUCGUCUGAUGCAUGGCAGAGUAGCCAUAUUUUACUUCCUGUCCUUGAACUUUGAAUGAGAUACAGGAGCCCGACAGAUGUUGGAGUGUUCCAUUUCCAACGAUGUCUAUCCCUUUUUUUAGGGUUAGGGUUAAUUUUCCUUGACAAUCAUGUCUUUGACAGCAGUUGAGAGGAAUCUGAGGAGCAUUAUGCACAUAAAAGAAGAUGUGUGACUCUACAAUAUGUUAUCCAACAUAAGCAUAGCGCAAUUGCUCUCAUGUGUAGAGCAGCAGUACAGAGGGGUCAACACUGCUGGGACAGACACUCCAUUAAUAACUACAUAUAUAUAUACACUGUAGGCCUACUAUAUUUAUCAUGAUUGACAGCCCUUAUUUUGUUUCCACAGGGAAAAAUGGGAAAUAGCUUCAGUUUUACUACGUGUGUGUGUGUGUGUGUGUGUGCGUGCGUGCGUGCGUGCGUGCGUGCAUGCGUGUGAGUGUGUGUGUGUGUGUGUGUGUGUGUGUGCAUUAACUUGUUGUUACGUGUGUGUAUGUGUAUAUGUUUGUACGUAUUUGAGUAUGCGUGUGUGUGAUUGUGUGUGAUAGUGUGUGUGUGUGCAUGCUUGUGUGUGUUUACCGGUAUACCGCUGUACAUACUUGCGAAUGUCAGUCUGUGCAUGCGUGUGUGCGUUUGUGUGUGACUCACACAAACGCACACGUCAGCCCUCUGGAUUAUAAUGAUUGUCUUUUUCUCUCCACCCUCCAUAAAUCCUUCUGCCUAGCCGCCUCUCUUUAACGAGAGACCUGUCCUCCUCGUUCAUUACUGCUGCAGACAGGGAGCAUCGUGGUUCCAGGAGCUCACUUAGUUUCUGGAACAAUGUCCAUGCUACACUCCACCUAGCUGGCUGCCUCCCUCCACUAGCCCUCUGCCUCCCUCCACUAGCCCUCUGCCUCCCUCCACUAGCCCUCUGCCUCCCUCCACUAGCCCUCUGCCUCCCUCCACUAGCCCUCUGCCUCCCUCCACUAGCUGGCUGCCUCCCUCCACUAGCUGGCUGCCUCCCUCCACUAGCCCUCUGCCUCCCUCCACUAGCCCUCUGCCUCCCUCCACUAGCUGGCUGCCUCCCUCCACUAGGUGGCUACCUCCCUCCACCUAGGUAGCUUUCACAGGGCUCCUCCAUAGCAUGGACCAGUCUACUACAUAGUUUGAGUAUAAUGAUGCCGAGCAGGAGGUGAAACAUGCUUCAAUGCCCGAGAUCUCUCCCAGAGUGUGUUUGGUGAUAACUUGUGCACAUUGAUUGCUCAGUGCGUAACAGGUGUGCAGCCUCCCCCAGCCCAAGAGUCCAAUCAGUCUUGCUCGGGCCAGGUGAGGCUGCUUAAAAACCAGCCAUCAACCACACACACCCUACAGUUUCCCUUUGAAUUAAAUGUAGGUUCAACAUGAGAGCUAUCACAGCUACGUUUUUCAAUAAAAGAGAAAGUAGUCGUAGGAAGGAAAGCCAGGAGCAAGGAGAAAAUAGGUGGAGGUAUAGAAUAAAGAUGCAAUAUAAAGACAAUGGGGUGGAGGAGGAGGAGGAGGAGGAGGAGGAGGAGGAGGAGGAGGAGGAGGAGGAGGAGGAGAUGAGCUAGAUAGUAAGGAAUUUAGGAUGACUAAAAAGAGGAGAUAAGAAGACAAAAAAAGUCUAGACGCAGAGACAAAGAGACUCCUUAGAGAUGCAAGACAAUUGCAGUAGAAAGGAGAGAGAGAGAGAGAGAGAGAGAGAGAGAGAGAGAGAGAGAGAGAGAGAGAGAUUAUAUUAACCAGAAAAAUAGGUACAAUGAUAAAAACAACAUUCUCCUUGUACUGUGGACAUAUCGUUUAUCUGGACCCUAUAGGACCUCAGUCACAUGGACCAGGCUGACAGGAGGACAUGUACAACACAGCUGUGUUCUUCAUGAAGAAGACAUCUAUUAGUGUUUGAAGCGCUAUUCUUGGAUUAAACUUCUUCAGGCCUUCCAUUGACAAGGGAUUUUGUUUGUUGAUUUCUAUAUCUUGGAUUAAAUAAAACAUCAUGAACACUAUGUGAUAACUGAAGGAUGUUUAAGCUGAACAAGACUGGAGGAAGAGGAGUAGGAAGCAGAGAAGAAGGACUGAUGGAAAGGAUGGGCGACCUAUCUGGACAAAUACCUAUGUUGUACAUAGAUUGAAAGAUGGAAGAUAAAAUGGUGAAAGGAUGCUCUCAUAUAGAGAUCAAUGGUUGAUGAAAGCAACAAAUGGAUGAGGGAUACAAGUCACAAAAAAAGGCAUUCAUUAACUUAAGCAGGAAGUAUUAUUAAUGCAUUAAUAAAUUAUUAAGAAUUCGCGGAAAAGUUGACUAAAUAAAAGGAAAGAGUGGAAAUGACUUUCACUUUGGAGUUAGCCUAUUAAAUGGUGCAGUGAUGUGUCCGGAGGGGGGCAAAGGAGGCAGUGGGGAAUGUAAACUCCUUUGAAAAUAACUGAAACAAAAAAAUUAAAUUCCAAAACCGAAUGAAAGAAAAUGUAUACAUGCAAGGCAUUACUUACAAUCUGUUAAAGUUGUACAGGCAUGCAAUAUAUGAAACAACCAGUUACAGGCCAACGACAGAACAGGUAGUUUGUCCAUAUUACCCAAAACACCCCAUAAGAUUGUCAAUUCAGUUUGAUUCCCAGUGAAAAAUGCUAUAUUUUAAUAGUCUAGAUAUUGAAAAUGUGAACAUUUUAAAUUUCAGUUCAUUUUCCUAAUCUUCCUUUAGGACAUUGUGAGUUUGUUGUUUUAUCAAGGUUUUAUUUAGUUGCAAUGGUGAUUGAUAUGGAGGCUCCUGGGACCAUGCACUUUGUAUGUUUUUAAGGUCAGUGUCUUUGCAUUGUGAUGUCAAUAGUUAUUUCAUGUAACUGAUGAUAUUCUUCAGAUAAAAAGGUAGAUUUUCGAGUUACAAUGGGAUGAGAUUUAAUCUUCUUUAGUACGGAAAAGGCUGACGUGUUUUUGUGAGUAAUCUAUGAAUUAAUGUUUGCUUUGUUCAUUAGGGUUCAUUAUAUCAAUAUAUAUAUAUACAAAUACAAAAAGAAGAAAAAAAAGAACACCGCUUUAAAAUACUUUUUAAGCGUGAAUGCCAUUAAUAAAGUAAAUACGAUUUUCAAGAGUAACACUUUUUGAAUGAUCAACAGGGUGUCAUAGACCUACAGAAAGUGAUGCAAACACACCAUUCACUUUGUACGUAUGGCUCAUCAGGGUUAGGUUUAGCCACUCUGUAUCAUUACAUGCAUGGAUAAUAUGCGAUUCCUGUUUUCUCAUGUGAUGUUCUAGGACCCGUGAUCAAUCAUAGGACUCCAAGCCCCUGACAAAUACACCACUUUAGCUUUACAACUUUCCAACAUUAUGUUAUGGUAUGUUAUUUAUACAAAACAAUUAAGUAUCAUUAACAAAUUGUGGUAAUUUUUUCUCAAAUUCUUUGGACAUUAUUUCCUUGUUUUUAAAUAACCAACUGAACAGGUUUGCACCUGAUCCAUAAUAUACCACUUUGUGCAUGCUUAUUUUAUAGUUUACUAUGCUUUAUUAGGAAAAAAAAACGGUCAAUUAUUUUUUCUGUUCUGUGUACCAAAAUGUUCCUAAUAAAUUCUCC
Molecule: long non-coding RNA, 5866 nt
Organism: Gadus morhua (Atlantic cod)
Lineage: Eukaryota; Metazoa; Chordata; Actinopteri; Gadiformes; Gadidae
Source: Ensembl